CCUACAAUUGAAUCGUAAUAUUACUGAAAAGUUGGAUACAUAUUUUUCACACAAAACAUUUUUCAAAUCAAAAAAUAUCUAGAUACUUAGAGUUUUGAAUUAACACAAACAAUAUAUAAAUUUUGAAAACGACGUACGAGUGAAAAAUAGCCAAAUGUCCAUUAUACAAUAUACUUCUUGAAUUAUAUAUGCACAAACUGAUGAAUAUGUCAACAUUCUAAUAAUUUGUCUUCAAAUUAAUAUGUUGAUGGUUAAUGAAUUAUUACUAUAAGGGAAAUACUUGAAAAUUUAAGUCAUUUUCUUAUGCACAGGUUUAAAUUGAGAAUAAACCAGUCUGGUAAUGGUUAAUUCUCUUAUAUCAGUCUAUCUACAUUUAUUUAAAUUUUAAACAAUAAUAUACAUUACUCUAUCGAUGUGUAUGCAUCAUACAUACUUUUUGUGUUAAAAUGCCAUCCUGUUUGUGCACGCUACAUGUAGUGAACAUAAAUAUAUUGUAAUAGUUGAUGCAUGCAAAUAAGUUGAGGCUCUUUUUUAUACUGUCAACAAUAUAACAACUUUAAUAAUUUAUAACUUUCUGUUCAAAGGGAAAUAGUCGUUUUAAUGUUACUUCAUUGUAUUACCUCCUUUUAUAAUAUUUCCUUCUCGUGUGCAUGCACCGACUAUCCGUAGUUCAAUACUUUUGUUUAUAACUAAUUGUCAUUAAAACAUUGUACUUAUUGUUUGUAAUUAGGAACCAGCAAGUGUGCAUGAUUAAUUUAAUAAAG
This 764-nucleotide long non-coding RNA is filed under the name Mytilus galloprovincialis (Mediterranean mussel). The record is from RNAcentral. Lineage: Eukaryota; Metazoa; Mollusca; Bivalvia; Mytilida; Mytilidae.